Molecule: ribosomal RNA, 541 nt
Filed under: Clonostachys rosea
Lineage: Eukaryota; Fungi; Ascomycota; Sordariomycetes; Hypocreales; Bionectriaceae
Description: eukaryotic LSU rRNA
Rfam family: 5.8S ribosomal RNA (bases 155-308)
Source: RNAcentral
GCUUGCGUUCACUCCCAACCCAUGUGACAUACCUACUGUUGCUUCGGCGGGAUUGCCCCGGGCGCCUCGUGUGCCCCGGAUCAGGCGCCCGCCUAGGAAACUUAAUUCUUGUUUUAUUUUGGAAUCUUCUGAGUAGUUUUUACAAAUAAAUAAAAACUUUCAACAACGGAUCUCUUGGUUCUGGCAUCGAUGAAGAACGCAGCGAAAUGCGAUAAGUAAUGUGAAUUGCAGAAUUCAGUGAAUCAUCGAAUCUUUGAACGCACAUUGCGCCCGCCAGUAUUCUGGCGGGCAUGCCUGUCUGAGCGUCAUUUCAACCCUCAUGCCCCUAGGGCGUGGUGUUGGGGAUCGGCCAAAGCCCGCGAGGGACGGCCGGCCCCUAAAUCUAGUGGCGGACCCGUCGUGGCCUCCUCUGCGAAGUAGUGAUAUUCCGCAUCGGAGAGCGACGAGCCCCUGCCGUUAAACCCCCAACUUUCCAAGGUUGACCUCAGAUCAGGUAGGAAUACCCGCUGAACUUAAGCAUAUCAAUGAGCGGAGGAUGAAC